GGCGGUUCUCGGAUGACGCACCCCGGAACUGGGCUCCCUCCUCUCUGGUUCCGGGUACGUCACCUGAGAACCGCA
Myotis davidii is the source of this 75-nucleotide non-coding RNA. The record is from Rfam. Lineage: Eukaryota; Metazoa; Chordata; Mammalia; Chiroptera; Vespertilionidae.